GAUCCUGGCUCAGGAUGAACGCUGGCGGCGCGCCUAACACAUGCAAGUCGAACGGCACCCCUCUCCGGAGGGAAGCGAGUGGCGAACGGCUGAGUAACACGUGGAGAACCUGCCCCCCUCCCCCCGGGAUAGCCGCCCGAAAGGACGGGUAAUACCGGAUACCCCCGGGCGCCGCAUGGCGCCCGGGCUAAAGCCCCGACGGGAGGGGAUGGCUCCGCGGCCCAUCAGGUAGACGGCGGGGUGACGGCCCACCGUGCCGACAACGGGUAGCCGGGUUGAG
This 280-nucleotide ribosomal RNA is filed under the name uncultured bacterium. RNAcentral describes it as "partial 16S ribosomal RNA". It matches the Rfam family "Bacterial small subunit ribosomal RNA", at positions 15 to 296 of the family's 1533-position model. The record is from RNAcentral.